This 442-nucleotide long non-coding RNA is filed under the name Fukomys damarensis (Damara mole-rat). Its description in RNAcentral is "lncRNA (ENSFDAG00000023834.1)". Lineage: Eukaryota; Metazoa; Chordata; Mammalia; Rodentia; Bathyergidae. The record is from RNAcentral.
GGAACCAGUGUUCUAAUACAGGCACAAAGAAACUAGGAAGAUUAAUUGAUGAUCCCGUUCCUAUACUGCAAAUGGCAAUGAAGUUUGACAGUAUUGUGGCAACUACUUCUAAAUUUAGAGGAGGGGCCUGAUUGCAUCUGACACUACAAACAAGCUCAAUGGGGCAGGUACAGUAUUUCCAUCCACCAACCAAACUGACUUUGGAACUAAUGGGUGCUGUGGACUGAGUGGGUCUCUGUGUUCUCUUCCUCCCUUCCUUUUGCCAGUGCAACCUUGACUCUCUAGCUACCUUCCCUCCCCACCCACCUCAGUGGUGAGUCCUGAACAACGCAAGCCAUGGUAAGUUUAUUCUCUUGGUCAGGGGUUGUUUAGGGGCAGAUGAAUGAUCUGGUUCUGACUGGUUGUCUUAGUUACAUUUCUCAUUGUUGAAACAAAAUAUCCA